This 252-nucleotide ribosomal RNA is filed under the name uncultured bacterium. Its description in RNAcentral is "partial 16S ribosomal RNA". It matches the Rfam family "Bacterial small subunit ribosomal RNA", at positions 524 to 776 of the family's 1533-position model. The record is from RNAcentral.
UACGGAGGAUGCGAGCGUUAUCCGGAUUUAUUGGGUUUAAAGGGUGCGUAGGCGGACGCUUAAGUCAGCGGUAAAAUUGCGGGGCUCAACCUCGUCGAGCCGUUGAAACUGGGUGCCUUGAGUGGGCGAGAAGUACGCGGAAUGCGUGGUGUAGCGGUGAAAUGCAUAGAUAUCACGCAGAACUCCGAUUGCGAAGGCAGCGCACCGGCGCCCUACUGACGCUCAGGCACGAAAGCGUGGGUAUCGAACAGG